CUGGCAGGACAUAGGGGAUAGUAGAGCUGUCAUUUGACUGAAGUGACGCUGUCCACUGAACUAUUUGACUGCAAAGAGAGACAGAUGACCCUUUGGUGAAUUAGCCAAGGUGAGAGAGUGGUGCGCAAAGAAGGAAAUGACACCAUGCAGAACGUAUGGAAGCUAAGCACACCUCUGGCUUUGUUCGUAACACUGCUAGAUUCAUGCAGGAAGAGAAGUUAUACUGUGGUCCAGGGAACUCACCCAAGCCACAACCCUAUCUACUCCUCCCCAGCCUACCCUGCUCCUCAAUAUCAUGCCUGCAGCAGAGAUCCCAAAACAACCUCAGCCCCACUGUGAGGCUGCUUUGGCAUAGGAACAUUCAGCUUUUUCUGAAAGCACAGCUCUAAGCACAUCUGCAACACUGAGAAGCUGAGAAGCCUCAGUGCUAAGCUGAACAUGGGCUGUCAAGACUUCCACCUCCUUUAGGACUGCAUCCCAAGGAAUGAAUGGAGCUGGGAACAGCAAGAAUUAUUUACAAAG
This 522-nucleotide long non-coding RNA is filed under the name Gallus gallus (chicken). RNAcentral's name for it is "long non-coding RNA NONGGAT007290". The record is from RNAcentral. Lineage: Eukaryota; Metazoa; Chordata; Aves; Galliformes; Phasianidae.